CUGCCGCACAACAAUUUUUUGGCCAUGUACAUACAUAAAAAAAAAGCAUUAAACUAGCUAGCGGCUACCAAUAAAAAGCAAUUGGUCAACAAAAAAAAGUUAAGAAACAGAAAGUUACAAAAAAAAAAUAACAAAUUGAAAAGCAGCAGCGGCAACGGCAACGGAAAUGCACGUAGAGCCACCUAAAAGCAACAACUACAACAACAAGACGAAGAAGAGGAACUAUAACAGCAGAUAUUCACACGCCCCCAACUCACACACACCCACAAAUGCACACACACACACAAUUACAUUCAUGCCAGGCAAUGUAGCCGCCGUGUUGUGUGUCUGUGUGUAGAAGAAGAGCAAUCAAAAUUUUGUGAUUGCAACAAAUUGUUGAGCUAGGCAACUGCAGAAGGUGCUGCAACUGCUGGAAUUGGGAGCUGCAGCUGGAGCUGGAACUGGAGCCAGGGCAUCUGCAUAUAUCACAAACAUAUAGAAUACAAAUUUCAUACGCAGCGCUCAACAUAAAACCCAUUCAAAAUUCAUCGUCUAAGCAAAGCGGAUACAUAGAUGCAGCGAGCUCACAUGCCACGUGUCUAAAAGAAAGCAAUUGAAAAAAGAAUUUAACUCGAAUAAUACUACUAGAACCAAACACAAAUAAUAAAGCCAAUCAAAACCGAGCAUAUCACUUAUAUAGAGCAUAAACCAAAGAUAAACCUAUCAAACGUCGCAUUUAAAUAGGACAAAGAGCAAACAACAACAACAACAACAGCAACAGCAAUAACAACAACUGC
Drosophila grimshawi is the source of this 776-nucleotide long non-coding RNA. RefSeq lists it as uncharacterized. The record is from RefSeq and is a predicted model, not a curated record. The transcript is spliced from 3 exons. NCBI's taxonomy places the organism in Eukaryota, Metazoa, Arthropoda, Insecta, Diptera, Drosophilidae.